CAUUCUUGAGCUCGUUAACGCUUACUUCAAUGUCAUUAAGUUUUGUAUCCAACUUGUCAAAACGGUUCUCCAUUUUAUCAAACAUCUUCUUAAUAUAUCUGAGGAUUGCAUCGAGUUUUGGGUCUUCAAUGUUUGGAAACUCAACAACAUUUGAUGAUGCUUUGGGAAUUGUGACUUCUCCAACCUCCUCAUAGUCCUUUAAGAGUUCAUGAAGCUCAACAAACUUAUUCACCACUUCAUAUUUUUGCUCAUUAGGCAUCAAUAACUUGGCCAAAGCAUUCUCAUCUGAGACUUUCAAAUCGUUAAUCACAUCCCAACUCUCUACUUCAUGUGAAUAAUUCCAAGUGUGAGAGUAUUCUAGACCUCUUUCUCUUGCUUCAUAUUUGACUUUCUUUAGUGGAUAAAUAACUGCAUCCCAUGAUUUUGGUUUGCCCACAUUAUUUAGUAUCCUUCUCCACACAUAACCACGUCUCAUCACAUUUUCUUCAAUUUCCAAAGAUGGGCAAUCCUCCAUACAUACCCCAAUAAUGCAAUUUCUAAUUUUUUCCAUCCAUCCUUCAGCUUCCUUUUCUAAAUCCGGCCUUGGUGCAUUCUCUACCUCUUUUGGGUAGUAGAUGAUGACAUCAACCCAUUGCCUAUCUUUCCAAUUGUUUGUGUCUCCCCCAACUCUCACAAUUAUCUCAAUAAGGUUUUUUUUCAAAGCCACCCAUCCAUUCCCAAGCCUGAAACCUUUCUUGCUUAAUUUGUGAAGUUUAACUUGGAUCUUUGUGAAAAUACUUGCAGGAAACAAUUUCAAGUCCUUGUCUUUGCAUUCAAACCUCCUGCCCCAGUAGUUGUGGUUUUUUUGAGUGUCAAUUGGCACUGAGGGUGACAAUAAAUCUUCUGGAGGUGAAUAUUCUUCUUGCAAUAAUGUUGGCAUUAUCAGCUCUUUGGGCAAGUUAUGCCAAUUCCCAUCCCAUUUAUCAUCCCAAGGCAAUAUCACUCCCAUCUCAUGGAGCACUCCAAGAAUGUACUCCACUAUUUUGUCUUCGUUCCCACAUUGUUGCUUCAACUGAUGUUUAACUAUGUGUGUGUCCAUUUUACUUUGGAGUUUGCUUGUCUCAGUAUGUAUGAAGAGCUGCACCACAUCCUUGAUAAACCAUUGGACAUCUAAGAUGGCAAAUUGAGACACAAUGUCGUCCUCUUCAUGUCCCAAGCCAAAGUAAAUUGCAUCACCAGAAUCAUGUAGAAAUUGCAAGAUGAAUUUGAGAACAUUCUUGGAACUCCUGUGAGGCAAGAGGAUUUUGCCAACUUUUUCUAGGGGUAUGACCUUCUUGUGACUUGGAUCUUGUACCAAUUUCCUCUUUGCUUUGAGACAUUCCCGUGGUAUUUUUUGCUGGGCUGACAGCAGUUCUUCCAAGCAACUCCCCAACAUGGUUUUUAUCCCCCUUAAAUCUUUCACUUGAGUGGCCACCACCUCAAAACAAAAGUCAUUCCCAAACUCAAGUACUUGCCGAUAGCCUUUGUCGGAGAUUAUUGCAGAAACCACCUCCUUUGGGUCAAAGUCGGGUUCUGGAGUGAAAAAGUUCAAGGCAAUCAAGACCCUGGGCUUCCUUUUGGGUGAGGCUGAUUGAUGUGAAGCGAUGAACCUCAGCCAGUAAACCAAAUUCUGCUUGAAAACCUCACAAUUGCCAUCCUCCACCUUGCAUACGAUCAAGAAGAGAUCCUUCUCACUUCCUCUGAGAAAGUACUGGUGGAAAGCAUGGAACUCUUCCUGUCCAGCCAGGUCGCAAAUGAGCAGCUUUUGUUUGGUGGUCGCAUAGACAAGUGGUUGCAGCUCAAUGCCUGCUGUUGAAGCAUGCUUUUGGAGACAUGAUGGAAACCAAGACACUCUGCGGCAGAGGUUUUUUUUUAUUGUGGUCUUUCCAACCCUGCUAGCACCAAACAAGAAGACAUUUGCUGUUGACGGGUUGUCAAAGUCUUUGAAUGCACUCUGCUGGAAACUUGCUUGAAAGCUUCAGAAGCUUCGGAAUCAUCACCUAGCUCAAGCACUUCCACGAGGCUUUGGUAGUUUUCCUAUCAUUGCAUGUAGUAAAUAUUUAAAUUAUUAGAACAAAAUGUGUUCUUUAGAACAUUUUUAUCUAUAUAAUAUAUAGAGAGUUAUUAAAUUAUUAGGUUCGCCAUAACCUUAAAAUUUUAAAAUUUAUAAUGUUCGUACUAAAUUACAAUUGAAAAUUGACCUCAACUCGUGAGCUCAACUCUUCAACUCGUGAGCUCAAGUAUGGUCCGCGCCCGUAUAGUCUUUGCAGCGAACAGUUUGAACAAGUGAGUGCCUUGAAGAGUGCUUCACCUGCCUCCUCUCGAAACGUUGCCACCAGUUUUACUAGCUUAAUGCAAAUGCCACUCUGAAAUGCCUGUUCCCACCCUUCCUUGCCAAUGUGGUUAUCUUCGAUGACUAACUCUUCCACCCUGCACUCCUGACUUGCCAGAUCCCUACUCAAUUUCCCAAAUCCUUCCACUGUCAUCCUGUUCCCCAGCAAUUGGAGACGUUUCAAGUUGUUUCCUGGUUUCCUAAGGAGUUGGCUAAGGAGAGUCUCUGGGUUCCCAACCCUGUACAACCAAAGCUCUGUCAAGCAGUCGAGCUGAGCAAAGGCCAACUCAAGCUCCUGAGGUGGUGUGAGGAUGUCUUUGCCUCGCCAAUCGAAACGUAGCCCUUUCAAGACCUUGAAUUCCUGUGUCAUCGUCAGUAGCUUUGCAAACCUCUGCACCUCAAUCUGCCAAAUAUCCUGUCCCUGCUGAGGAGGAGCAAUGCCCUCUGCCACCCUUUGCAUUCGAUCACUGGGAAUGCCCAACCUACAAGCGACCCUGGCAGCGAAGUGGAUGAAUCUGAUGUCGAGCUGUGGUACCAAAGCGGCCUUGAGAAUGUCAAUGUGAGCAGCAGCAGCAGCAGCAGCAGACGAACUGCCAUCACCAGGAGCAUCUCCCACAUCCAGAGCCCUGUCUAACCUGGGCGGAUUUGAAAUGCACCAGUUGAGCACACCAAUCAGAUCCUCCUCUGUGCCUCCAAACCCCUCAACGGUAGCACUCACCUCAUCAACAAACUCACCUUUGGAUGCGUCAAGCGCCUCCAGCCUCCAGACAAGCUCCCCACAAUUAAACUGAAUCGCAUUGAAGUGCCGCUUGUUGCCCCGCUUCGCUGCGAGAGCCUCCUUGAUCUCCUUGACAGAGUCACAGCGGAUCCACACUCGUCGCUCCUCCUCCAUGGAAGUUUGCCCUAGAUCGAGUGAUCAUGAGUAAACUUCUCCCAGCUGUGGAUAAGAAAGUAAGCACGAGUUAGUUUAGGGUUUAGAACAGAUAAAAUGGGGAAGAAGGGGAAAGGGAAAAGAGAAGACCGAGCGAGUUCGUCGCCACGACAAGGUGUUAGACGAGGAUGAUAUCGAUGCGAUCUCUGGCCAAAGACUCUCAAUUGUUUUCCUUUUUGUCAGUGAAGGGGCAGUGGAGAGCACGAGUAAAAAGUGAGCUGUAAUGUAAGAGUUAAUUUAGGAAUUAAACGGAAAGGACAAGACCAUAAACAAACAUAAAAUGAUUCCAUUUGGUGGAUUUUAUGACACGCUGAGGGAAGAAAGGUCGGCUGUUUCAGCAGUGUAAAUGUUUAGUAUUGAAUUUUUGACACAGGUACUUCAAUAAUCUUUAAGUGCUGGAUUUAGACGAUUAUAAGGUUUGUUUCUGUCGCUCAUCGUUCUUCCUUGUUUUUUAACAACUAAACUGAUUUCCUUUUGCAGUGGCAAGAGAUAAAACCCAAGCUUGGAGCUGCCUGGCCUUCAGCUGGAACUGGUUCUCAGCUUGCUGUUUAUUUAGAUGAGGUAUUUGUCUACUAAAAGUAUAGUUUUGCGUGUUGUGAACAUUUUUUCUUUUCUAGAUUUUCUUGUACGGUGGCUAUUUCAAAGAGCCUGUGCUUGUUUUACAUUCUCGUUUGGAGUUUUAGUUUUUCAAUGUGUUUUGUGAAGGUGAAAAAAUCCGGUAUGGCUCCUGGCCAAGAGCAGGAUUUUUGUCCACAUCUUGUUUGGUGGUGUAGUUGAUGCUGAUGAGUACGGUUUCAAUGCAUGCGUUGGAAAAACUAAUGUCUUUUGCAGGUGAUUCCCUGCACAGCGUUUUUAUGAUCGAGAUGUAUAUGCUUUCCAGAUGGUUUGUAUCUCGUCGAUUUUUUUAAAAUUAUCUAAACACCAUCGCUCGCAGGUAUCCUUUGGAGCUUCUCAAGCCAAAGAGCCUAAAGAUUAAGGUAUGGCAAUCUGAGAUUGUGUAGUGGUUAAGUGUGCAUCCAAAGCAGAGGAAAGUGGUUGAUCCAAAUGUGGAAAAUGCGUCUCAACGUUGAGCGUUCGGCUUGAAGGUUGUUGCCUUGUGGAAGAAUGAAUGCUGGAAUGGUCGUUGGAAAGGAUACUUUAUUUCUGUAUGGAGGUAUGAAAGAAGUCGGCAAAAAAAAAGUGACACGACGACCUUUCCUCGCUGGACCUUCGAUGUGUGGAAGUGCAUUAUUGAGGUUAGUAUGAUCGAGCCAUCAUCCAGCCUCAUACUAAUGUCUCAAGCAGGAAACACAAAGCGCGUGGAUUGAAGCUAGUAAGGAGAAAGGCGAAACUGAUGGUGACAACAGUGAUGCUGGAUCGAUUAAUAAAGGAAAAGACGAAGAGGACGAUGACGAGGUAGUAAAAAAGAAGGAUGUAAGAAAACUUGUCUGUUUCCUUUUGUGUUCUAGGAUGCAGUGGAGUCACUGUGAAGAGGCAGCUGCUAUUCUUAGGGGCGAAGGCAAAAAGGUGACACAGAAAGCACGGAAAUUAAAGAUUGAUCCGAGCUGGGCCUGGCUGAUUCCCAACAAACACUUUUGGUGAGUGCUGAUAGUAGUUCAUCUUCCUGUUUUGUUAUUGAUUUGUCUUUCAGCCUGGAGAAACGCUGAGAGAUUUUUUCUCUUGGACGAUCAUGUAUUGGCAAAUGGCACCUUACGAUCACACCCAACACACUGGAAAGGUGACAACGCAGGUUUUCUUUCGCUCGUUCUUCAUGCUCUAUGCAUCUAUCAGGAGCUCAGGAAGGAUGGAUUUGACUUGGCAAAGACACGCUACAGAGAACUUAAAACCCGUCCUUGACAAGGUAAAGUGGUGUUUUAAGAAGGAAUCCUCACAACAGCAUUGUUUGAUUUGCAGCUCGCGAGACUUGAAGCCGACCACAACGCCGAAGAGGAGGCUACCAAACCUUCCAAAGAGCGCAGCAAGAAGAAAGGAUAAGGUCCGUGAUCUCUGAAAGUUCUAGCUGAAAAUUAAAUGAAUAGAUUACAGUUAUUCCCAGAGGUAUGGUGAGUGCUUUCCUUUUCUAGAGGCAAUGCCAUUGACAUGAAACCACUAGUAUACAAUCUCUGCGUCCUAUCAUCAAUGGUGAUAGAAGGUUAAUUAAUAAGGACGAUCCGCAUGAAAUGGAUAUCCUGCUCUUACCCAGGAUAAAGUUUAUAUUUCCAUGAUUGCUCGCAGAGUGUAUGGGCCUGAGAUAUGCCAUGGCUUGCUUUCGGUUGCCUUUCGUAAAGUGCAGAGUGAACACUCUCUCUACGCGGUCCAUAAACUUUACUACCUGUAGUGCAUUGGAGCAAUGAAAUCCCAUCAGCAAGACCCCCAAAGGAAAAUUUCUUCACACCUUGUCCGACGUUGCAAAGUGAGAGUUUUCGACCAUCUUGAGGUAACUGCCAGACUCCAGUCACCUGAAAAUUUAAAAAAGCUUUUUAGAAGUCUGCAGUAAUUUUCCAUUUUCCAUAAGUACCUUGUCAUAUUUCUUGCGGAUCCUGACGAAUGCCAUCAUGUUCAAGGAGCUGCCAAGUAAGUUUUCAACACUUUGAGAACAUGGAUCAAUCGUAUAGAGGUCAUUCACCUCAAGUUUCUUAGGAGUCGAAGCCCACGAUAAAAUUCGACAAAGGCCGUCUGGAGCAUCUUGGCUGCUCGCUGAACCUUUCCUUUGUUACCGGGGCUCCCCUUCAAGCUCUGAGAUUCGUCAUCUACAACAUGGCAGAGAUCAAACGAUUCCAAGUUAAGUGCUACAGAUUUAGAGGCUGCUAUAACAAACCUUGCAUAACGAUGAGCUCUUGCAUUUGGAUGUGAAGUUGCUGUGCUUGAGCAUCGUACUCGUCUUCCUUGCAUCUAAAAAACUUGUCCACUUUGUUGAGCUGAUCGUCAAGGCCGAAAAAGAAGCUCUUUUCGUGAUCCGAUCGAGUUCCAAACAGCUCCGUCUCGUAAAAAUCCUUGCCAUCUGCAAUUCUCCUCUUGUGCACAACCUGACCGUAUUGAAGAGUUUUGUUUCGUCUUUACAGUCCAGAACAUCCAUGGAUGUUUCCGAGGAUAUGGAUUGUUCGCAGCAGCUGCUCAGGAUGGCGCUGGGAUCUUGCAGCAAGUUUUGAAGCUUGCUCUUGUCAACCGAGAAGACAUUUGGAUCGAACACCUUGUGCUGCUGGUUCUUGGUAUGUAGGAUCUGGUUUUUGAUUCUCUUGACAACUUUCUUGAGCUGCUUGUAGUCGCAGUACUUCACCCACUCUGGGACGAGCUGGCCCUCCAGCUGCUUCUGGAACUUCACCAUGUCUGAAAGCUUGGAUUACCUGAGGCGAACAUCGUCAAGAAAACGAUCAAGCAAGAGAUGAAAUACCUGGAGGAAAUGGUGUCAAGUUUAGAAUGCCUCUUCAAACUUUUCUGGCGCCUGUGCUCUGGAAGCAGAGGAAGAACAGUGGCAAUGAGCAUAUGACGAGACAAAUGGUGGCGUGGAAUCAUCAAAUGCGGGAGGAGCACCACCAAUUCUCACAAGAAAACAGCGCCUUAAGAUCAUCUCUGGAGAAAAGGGGGAAAGCCUUCGUUUCUCACCGACGCCAGCGAACAAUUACAUAAGAAUACGUUUUCCCGAGUGAAACUGACGCAGCAGAGUGCAAGAGGAGAGAAGAAGCAAGCGAUCCAUUGGCCUAUGGAACUAAAAAAGGAAGCAAAAGGACAGGGAAUGCAGGGGAAUCUACAUGAAAAGAAGCUGUCGUAAGUUACACACUUACACACACUCUCACACACUUCAACUCUUUUCUUGUCAACACGAGUAAUUUAUGCGAGCGAAAGGGAAUGAAAGAAUCAUUUGAGCAUCUAAAGCAUGGAAGGAAGCGAGGCACGUACUCUUUCUGGAAAUCACGCUUAUGGAGCGUUUUGUUUCGUCGGAAUCCCGAUUGCUGGCGCAACCAAACUGAAAGAAUCGCAAGCUCAGAACUACGAAAGCAAAGAAAAAACUUACUCUUGAAAGGGGACGACGAGGAGAAGAAUAACCGAAGGAGCCAAGCUUGGAAUCGAGAGAGCUUGUCGAGUUCUCGAGGUGAGAGCCCUUUGCUCACUCAAAAACUUGAAGCAAAGCUGAAUAACUCCAACAAAGCGAUAAGAACGCCACCUUAUAUUGAAACACACGGCGGUUGUCAAGCGAUAAUUCAGCUCUUCGUCUGGAAUGCACCAGCAAUAAAAUAAUGCAUAUGACGCAGAAAGAAGAACUUAACGUACCCGUUCGCUGCCACUUAUCAAACUUGACAACCCAAGUAACGUCCCCAACCUUCGUCGCACGAAUUCGAUCAACCCACAUACAGAAGUUCUUUCCCCUGUGAAUACCGUGGAGGGACGUAGAAUCUCAACGCUUGUACGAAGAUCGUCUUCUAGUCCCCACGGAGUGACCAGCGUUGAGUCAGGGGCCUGCCAGCCAUUUCGUUGCUCAACCAUCCAAAAGUACUAAAUACGAGGAACUUACCAUUGGCCUUUUCAAGUGUUCAAACACCUCGUGGGAGCUUUCAACCUCGCCUCGUAACCAUCUCACACAGUAGCACCACGUCCGAUCAACCAGCAGUGAGCUGGCUCAGUAAGUCGGCAUCCCUGGGCGAAACACAAGGAUCAAACUUGAACUCUCGGAUAGCUUGUAAGAUUCCCGAAGCGCAUCUUUCAGUGCCACGAAAGAUCUUGGGAUUGUCUUUGGCAUUAUCAAGGUACCACUGCGUAAGAUCUUCAACCGCAUUCCCGACCUGAGAUCGUCAGUGAGUGAGUGGCUGAUCAAUCGACUUCAAGAACUUACGAUCACUCCAGAAACGUCUUUGACGGCAAAGAGCUCAGCAUCACAAGAACUUUCUGAGGAGCUCUGCCUUCCCUCAUGAGCUGUCCCUUGUCAGCUGCUCAAGGGAGAACAUCCAUAUCCUGUCCUCCGCUGUAUAUGAUUUUUACAUCCAACUGGAAGAACAAAAAAGAAGAAGGAUUAGAUCACAAAAGCUUCGAACGAUCCUCUAAAAACUUGCCUCACACUCGAUCAAUCUCUUCAACAGUGUCUCCACAACCCGAGGAUCCUCCGCCUUCUUCAGCUUGAAGCUGACUUUGUGAGGUCGCUGUGCUGUUUGUUCCUACAGAAAAAAAAAAACCAGGACGAGAUAGAGAAAACCGUUGUAAACACCAUCAAAGAGAGGAUAUGGAAUUUUUCUACCUGGAAUGUAAGCUCUGGAAACUUGGAAGUCUCUUCCAAACAGCCCUAUCCCACCCCUUGUUUGGUUCUCGCCCAUGGCAUCGCCGUACAAUCUCGACAUCGUGACCUCCGGCGUGAGCAGCGUCCUCUCCCGCCUCAUCAGUCGGCGAUCUUCCAGUCGAGAACACCAGAAGCGAGUCAUGGAAAUAAUCUGCGGCCCAGAGCGCAUUGAAGAAGAAACCCGAUGCGUACCAUUGUUCCAUCGAGAUCGGAGACGAUCGCGAGCCGCGCCCCCUCCAUUACAAGCUAAUGUGCAAAGAACCCUAAAAGCAUAUGCAUAGUAUCCCUCGAAUCUUUUUAGACUUUUCACUAGUUUCCAACUUGUCUUCCUUCCCAAUCCUCGUAGCCUCUUAGAAACGCACGAAGAGGACCACUCUCUCAUUCGGAGAUACCGCCGAAUCGUAAAGGGAUCUUCCCUUCACAUAGAAAUCUGCAAAGAACCGCUCCACACAAAUUCCUUUUCAGAGUUUCUAUACCUCGAAUGGAUCUGUCUGGUGCUUCUCAUUGUUUUCUUGCUCUUCGACCUCUUCCUGGAAGAGCAAUCCAAGGCAGCCUCAUACUGGCUCUGCUGCUGCUGCUGCUGCCCGAUCAAAUUCCCCUCAAAUUCGACACAUUGCCCGGGCAAGCGUCACAAUCCCAAUGCCGCCACCGCUGCGAGGCGCUGCCAACACGAUCAACGAGAAUCGAUGCCCUAGCGCAUUGGGGGACGCCGGGCUCGAACCCGGACCAGCGGAUGCCGCGCCGCGCCGGACUCGAGCCACGGACCGGCGGUCUCGUCGCCGGACUCGAACCCGCCACCGUACGCUCUACGCCUCCACCGCUACCAUACGCCUCUCUCUAGUUUAUUAUACGCCUCCAAUCCUUGGUAGUGCUUCCUCAUGAUCACCUCUAUGUGACAACCAACCCCGCGUAGAGUACGCGGGGUACGACGUUUGAAACUCCAUUCAUUGGGCUUUGUUAAAGAGAAUAACAGAGAGAACGCCACUGUAGCUAAACCUAGAAAUCAAAAACUAAGGGGAUGACAAUGCUAGUAGUUCUUUUUUACAUCGUGCCACCUUAACCCUAGCGAAUAAUAGAAUAUUCGCUGCCGGAGAAUAUUCCGGAAUCGGCACAUGAUAGAGGGCAGUGACAAGAGGUUUUGGGCCUUAUUUUUAUUGUUCGCUGGGAGUCCAUGUUCCCUCUUUAGCUCCCCAUGUGUGGCCUUUGUUUUUGUUGCCAGCCAAAGAAACACACAGAAAGUUUGAAGGAGAGAGAGAGAGCGCAAAAAUCUGAGAGGAGAGAAAGAAAUGGGACCGGCUUUGAUUGACUUUGCCGCGCUCCACUUCCCUUGAUCCCUCCAUCUCCAUCUCGUCCUUUUUCUUUUUCUAUUCGGACUUGAACGAUUCGAUCCAUGCCAUGUUUCGCUCGAAGUCGAUGGAUCACUGCCCGAUCACUCCACCACUUCUUGUCAACUGGAAAAGUCUUUAAAUUCCUCUCGCUGAUGUGAUCAGCACGGCAUUAGCCUGAGAUCAAGGCCGCAGAUCAUCCAGCAAAGUCUAAGCUUUUUGCCAUGGAUGUGACAAGCUAACGUGUUAUCCAGAGCGCUUACAGGUUCCAUUGUUUUUUCCAUGACAAUUCUUUUUCCUCUGGCGACCGGCACGAAAGUCGUCCGAAGCAACCCAAACUGGAAACAAGAUACAUGCCCAGUUUCUCGGACAGAUUUCCUCAAGCCCGGCAGCACACGGAAGACGAAGAAAUUCGUUAAAAAAUCCACGAGCAAGCAGCAAGAGAGAGAGAGAGAGAGAGAGAGAGAGAGAGAGACAUAAAGAACUUUGCCAAGCCCAAAGUCGUUGAUGUUAAGCUAGGCCGUGCUUGAAGCGCGUGAUGAUGAUCAUGAAAGUUCCUGUUGAGAUGCUCGGUGGAUUCUCAGUGUCUCCAGCUCGAGACUUAUCGAUCAAUCCACAGUGUGCGGCAGCCAUCGUUUCGCUCGAUCGCUCCCUCAUUUGCAAAAGCUCGGACUUCACGAUCCUUCUCUUUCUGCCAUGGAUUCCUCCAUGAAGAGACCACCGAGCCAAGUUGCGAGAGUGAGGUUAAGCUGUAGUGAUCUUACGGACAUCCUCUUUUUGGAUUGCUUCCUUUUUUACUCCGCGUAUCGUAUCGACACUGUUGUAGAAGAAACAAACGAGUUUUGGAGGUAGCAACUUCCCUUCCGUUUGAUUGAUACAUGAAGAACAAGACAUCGCUCGCAAGUGGAAGAUCACACGGGAGAUGUUUGGAGUCAAACUGGAACUUUCGUGAUUGUUACGAGCACCUCCCCUGAAUCCAGCGCCACACUAUCUAUCUGGUAAUGUUUCAAAACGAGUAAACUAAUCAGUGUUUGUUGGGAAUGAAUGUUUGUGCUGCUCGGCCACUUGCACUGCGGCAGCAGAGGAGGAUGUUUUGCGGCAACUAUACCCGACUAAAUCGAAGUACUUUAAUUGCAAUUUGCAAGAUCACAAGUACUAGUCCUGAAGAAAAACAACGCGAUGUGCUUAUAAUCAAGGCAUUCAUGCAACUCAAGUGGAAAUUCACUAUGUUUACCUGGGCUUUCCGAGGAUGCUUCAUCUGAAUUGCAUAGUGUCACCCUGCCGUAUGAAAAAGACAAGAGAGAAAUUCUUACUCACUAGAGUUGAGGACAUUUUAUUCCUAGAAAAUUACUAUCAAGAUUCUAAUUCUAAAAGUUUUUCUUUUGUUUUCUUACAAUUAUAGUUUAUAGUUGAUAACCUCCACUCCAUAAACAUAAGAAAAUUAAAAUAUAAAUAUAGUAACAAGGAUUCUUAAAAAUUAUUGCAAGAGUUUAUAUUACUAUCUUUGCUCUUUGAGCUUAUAGAGAUUUUUUUCCAUGCAAUUAAAGAAUUUCCUUGGAAUUAUGUGACACUAAGCUUGGCAUUGAUGUUUAUAUCCAAGACUUUGGGUUGAGGCUCACUCUAGAUGAAAAAGUGGAUGAGAGUAAAUGUUACUUACAUGACUAAGAGUUCUAAGUUAUUAGUAGUGGCAUUAAACUCUCCAAGGUGUAACUUUUAGUCCAAAAGUCCAAUUUGACAAUUUUACUCUAGCUACUACAAUUUUUUCAUUGUUGAUACUCACUGUAGCUUCAUUCAACUCUACACUCUUUUACUUGAUUAAAGAUGUAAAGUUUUGUGUCAUGUUCUAGAAUUUUGUCUAUAGCUACAAGACCAUAAAUUUAUCCAUAAAUGGAUUGAUAUUACUAUAAAUAAUUAAAGAGAACAAUUUGAGAGACAAUCAAUGGAGUUCAAAUAUAAAGGGAGGGCUCAUGAAUAAAAAUGCAUCUUAUUUUUCAAUCAGUAUGUGUUUUGGGAUAUUUAGGGUUCAAUGUUCUUGGGUUUAAGUAAAAUAUUAGGAUGGGUGACUUUCUGGGAAGUUUAAAUUUAGGAGUUUACAUUUCAUAUUAGAAAGGUCUUGGGUUUAACUCUAUUAGUUGACUUAGAGGAAUCACAUCACAUAUUAAUUAACAUUUAGCAGGUUUAAUUUGCUGCAACUAAGCUCGACCUAAGGGGUAGGGUGUCAAGAGAAUGGGGCUCUCGACUUCUAUUCAUGAGGGCAUAAACUUACAGAGAAGCGUGGUAGAUUGUAGGCAACCAAAGAGAAUGACUUAAAAAAUGAUCCAUGGGGUUUAAAUAUAGAGGAAAAAGGCCUAUGAAUAAACAUGCACCCCCUUUUCCAAUUGGUCAAUGGUCAUAUUUGGGGUUAAGCAUCUCUAGGCUGGGUGGGAAGUCCAAAUUCAAGAACUUACAAUUACUUCAAUGCAAAGGUAUAGUUUUCAACUUCUCUCUCUUCCUUUCAUAUUCUUUUUUUUGUUUUGCACUAUGUAGUGAGUGAAAUGCUUUCACUUGUAAGUUUCUCGCAGGUGCGUGAAUAAGACUUGAUUAAAUCUUAUAACCUGCUUUUCCAAAGUUACAUUUAAGAUGGCCGAGUGAGCAGUGUGAUGUGCUUUUACAAUCAAGUGAAUAGUGUCUUGACUUCUGCUAAUCAAAGUUUGCUUAUGGAUAUAAUGUAAAAUAGGUGGGGAUGCAAUAGGUUUGUUCAUUUUUCUCCUAAAGAAAAAUCAUUCUUUUACUUCUUGUUAAAUAUAUAGUUUUUGAUUGUGAUGUUCUUCACGUUUUUUUGAAGGGUGUAACAUAUGCUCCCUCAGCCAAAGAUGUAAUUGUUGAUUCUAUAUUAUAGGUAAAAGUUUGAUAAUUAGGAUUGUUGCAGGUUUCAAUCUUAAUUUUGAUACCAAUUUUUAAAGUUUUACCAAGUUUAUUUUAAAUUAAUAAGUUUAAAAAUUUUUCUUGACAAUCAUGAGAAGUCAACACUUUAAGUUGGAAAGAUCACAAAGGUUAACCUUGACUAUAUAGUAUCCAAUUUUAUUACAACUAAAAUGUAGCUUGGAUUAUUCAAUGAUAAUCUAAACACUUAGCCAUAUGGAGAUAAAAUGAUAAUUAUCAGCAACUUGCUCUAGAUAUUGCUUUCUAAGGAAUUGUUCUUUUAAAAAACAAUGGAUUACUAUUUUUAUUCACAAUCUUGAAAAUUGUGGCUCUUAUAAAAAAUGAUGUAAAUAUAACAUAUAUGAUAUUUAGAAACUACAAAUGUGAAAGAUAAGUUUCUUCUCAAAACUCUUUAAAUGUUACUUAUGGUUUUAUUGGAGAAAUGUUAUACAAGUAUGUAUCACUUUUGCAAAGCAUGUAAAUCAAUAGCAAUAACAUCCUUUAUUCAUAGUACUUCUUUCAAGAAUGCAAUUUCAAUUCAUCUCCAACAUUUCAAAUGCAACCACUUGUCCUAUUAUUCUUAUGAUCACUACUUUUUGUUGAUAUCUUAACUUUCAAGGACAACCCAUGAAUCUCAAGUGUUAUUUGGUUUGGAUAUUUUAGUUAGUCCAAAGGUGCUACUCUCACUCAUGUUAUUUUUGGAACAUAAAAUCUAAGUAUUCCUUCUCUUCCUUUCUUUCUUUAUAGUACAAAAAUUGAAUAUAAAAUUAAGUGGUCACUUGGUAAAUACUUAGUACCACGAGGCAUCCAUAAAUGUUUCCAUGUUGGAUAUGAAAAUGAAAUACAAUCCACUAUUGAUAUCUAAGGAAAAGCUAUCAAUUUUAAAUAAGGUUACUAACAACUUUAGUGAUGGAUUGUCCUAAUCAACUUAUUUGUAUAAGUUUCUUUUAACACCAACAAAGCUUUCUUUCAAGAGCAAAAGAGGAAACUCUUGAGAUUGUCCAAUUGUAAAGAGUAACAAAGAUUAAUCCAAUCACUUACAAAAUGAUCUAUAAAUUUAUAACAACAUUUUGCCCAAUCUCAGCAAAACCAUUAGUAAAUCAAAGUUCUAACCAACUUUUCAUCUUUCCUUGAUAAUUUAGCUCCACUCGACUAGUAUAUAGAGCCCCAAGUUGAACAAUGUACUUUCAAGAUGGUCCUCUUUAACAAGUUCCAUAUAUAAAUAAUAUAGUGACUUACCCUUUCCUCUCUUGUGAAUUAUUGUUUAAAGAGAGUUUGUUUCUAAUUCACUUAAAUUUUCCCCUUCAGAAACCAUUUAGUUUGGCAUAAAAUCUUAGCAACCCAAUACUAAAUACUAGCCCAAAACUUUGAGAAGAAUAUAUCAACUAGUAUAUUAGUGAUGAUUUGAAGCUUGUUUUGCCAAUUUACAAGCUAUGAUAAACGAUUCAGAUAUUGGUUCUCUAAAUGAGGAUGGGAUAGAGAUUGGGAGUAAGCCUAGGCAAACAUCUCUAAUCCAAACUUUUCCAUUUUGCUCAUAAACUUGAUUAGCUUUGCAAAGGUUUCGAUAGAGUUUGUUUUCAAAUUUUUGCAUGUUAUAAAUGUUUAUCAAGGCGAUGUAAAUAGGAGUACACUACAAUUAUGGCUUGUCUUUUUUGUUAUGAUGGUGGUGAUCGCAACCAUCACCAUGCUUUCGGCAUCGUUAUAAAUGAUUAAAUUUUCUUUUUUUACUUUAAGAUCAUCUAAAGGAGUCUCACUCAUAAUCUUUAUAGGCCCUGAUAUUAAUUUAAGUGUUUGUUAACCCUCAGAUGUGUUUUUGCAACCACAUCAACUUUGUACUUUGCUCUAUGUGUCUAGUCCCACUUUGAAUACCUAAAGGGCUACAUAACCUCUCGGAAAGUCCAAAUUUAAAAACUUAUAUUUAGUAUUAAAGAAGUCUUAAGUGUGACUCUAUUAGUUGAUUAAAAGAAUUAUACCACAUGUUAAAAUUGAUAUUUAAUAGGUUUAGUUUACUCCAAUUGGGCUUGACUCGACGGGUAGGGUGUUAAAAGAGCAAGGCUCUUAGAAAAUCUGCAACUUUCAACUUCUAUUUACGAGAGCGUAAACUUGCAAAAAAGCAUGAUGGAUUAUAAACAAUAAAAAAAAAUGACUCAAAAAUUAUUAAUAUUGUUUUAAAUAUAAAAAUGUACCCUUUGUUCCAAUUAGUUAUAAGUCUUUGGGUAUUUGAGAUUAAGCAUCUUUAAAUAAUACGAGGUUGAAUGAUAUUUUAGAAAGCUUAAAUUCAGGAGAUUAUAGUGUCAUAAACAAUAUAAGUUUAUGUUUGUAAAGAACAUAUCAAGAAAGAAAAAAUUUUAAAAUUACAUAACCUUUUAAAAAUGAAAUAUUUACUAGAAUGCUAGAAAUAAAUAUUUGGAGAGCCUUUUCAUUAGAACUACUCCCAAAUAACACUUGAUGUGUUGCAUAUGAGUUCACAGUGAAAAAUAUCUUUAUACUUCAUUUUUAAUAGAAUUAUAAGUGGUGUUUAAUGCAUAUUUUAUAUUUUCUAAAAGAUAUUUGCAAACACUUAUAAAGAAUUUGCUGUUAAAUUAUUGUCAUUCAAGCACUUGCUUACAAUAGUAAAAGUUCAAUACAAUGUUUGAUUUUAUAGGAUGGCAUAUAUGUAUAAUUGAGGAGAGUAAACAAAUUUUUAUAUGGAGUUUAGUAAGUAAAUAGAAUUGUGUAUAAUAACAAUUUUGAUAAGUUUUUAAAGUGUAGUUUGUAACAUCUUUUAACUAAACAUUGAUUCAAAAAAUAGGUUGAAGUUGGUAAAGAUAAUAUAAAGUUAUCUUUAACAAUAUGUGAUGAUAAAUAACAAUUAAACAUAUAUAUUUAGUUUUGAAAUGCACUAUCUCAAAAGGUUUAUUAAUGUCAAUUGAAUUCAUUUUUAGAAUUGUUUUACUAAAGAUGCCAAAAUAAAAAAUGCCGCAAACAUAAAAUCAUUUAAGUAGCUUUUCUUUAAAGCAUUCAAUACUGGAACAUCAAAAUAAAUAUGAAAAAAUAUUUUCAAGCAAUAUGCAAAGAUACCUUAUCAACUUAUAUCAGGAAAUGUAGCAUAAUCAUAGUAAAAAUAAUAUUCUGCAAUAGUUAUAUUAAUAUAGAGGAUGUUUGAUUUAUCAUUGCUUUGCCAAAUAGCUCAAAAAUCAAUAUAAUUAAUGAUUUAUUUUAAAUGCCCUACAUAGUCUCUGUUAGAUUAAACUAAAAACAUAGAUAUAUAUCAAUGUAAAAUACCUUUGUAAAUCCAUACUGUUUUAUCAUCCAAGUGUAAGCAACCAAAGGGAACGACUCGAGAGACGAUCCAUGGGGUUCAAAUAUAGAGGGAAAGGGCCCAUGAACAAGAGUGCACCCCCUUUUCCAAUCGGUUAAGGGUCUUGGGAUAGUUGGAGUUAAGCGUCCUUGGGUUUGAAUAGUACUGGGCUGGGUGACCUCCCGGGAAGUCCAAACUCAGGAGCUUACAUUUGGUAUCGGAGCGGUCUCGGGUCCGACUCUGUUGAUUGGCUAGGGGAAUCGCACCACAUGUUGAUUGACAUCUGGCUGGUCCAGUUUGCUCCCGUUGGGCUCGACCCGAGGGGUAGGGUGUCAAGAGAGCGAGGCUCUCGGGAGAGCUGCGGCUCUCAGCUUCCGUUCACGAGGGCGUGAACUUGCAAGGAAGCGUGGUGGAUUGUAAGCAACCAAAGGGAACGACUCGAGAGACGAUCCAUGGGGUUCAAAUAUAGAGGGAAAGGGCCCAUGAACAAGAGUGCACCCCCUUUUCUAAUCGGUUAAGGGUCUUGGGAUAUUUGGGGUUAAGCGUCCUUGGGUUUGAAUAGUACUGGGCUGGGUGACCUCCCGGGAAGUCCAAACUCAGGAGCUUACAUUUGGUAUCAGAGGGGUCUCGGGUCCGACUCUGUUGGUUGGCUAGGGGAAUCACACCACAUGUUGAUUGACAUCUGGCUGGUCCAGUUUGCUCGGGGAAUCACACCACAUGUUGAUUGACAUCUGGCUGGUCCAGUUUGCUCCCGCUGGGCUCGACCCGAGGGGUAGGGUGUCAAGAGAGCGGGGCUCUCAAGAGAGCUGCGGCUCUCAGCUUCCGUUCACGAGGGCGUGAACUUGCAGGGAAGCGUGGUGGAUUGUAAGCAACCAAAGGGAACGACUCGAGAGACGAUCCAUGGGGUUCAAAUAUAGAGGGAAAGGGCCCAUGAACAAGAGUGCACCCCCUUUUCCAAUCGGUUAAGGGUCUUGGGAUAGUUGGAGUUAAGCGUCCUUGGGUUUGAAUAGUACUGGGCUGGGUGACCUCCCGGGAAGUCCAAAUUCAGGAGCUUACAUUUGGUAUCAGAGGCGGUGGUUCGUUGACUAUAAGGAAAAACCAUAACGUCGGACCCUUCGGCAGGGACUGAGGCAAAACCAGACAAGGUCGAACAGACUGAAGUGGAAUCAGUCCCUCAAGCAGUUCCCAAGUACAAACCAAAGCCCCCACCAGUCUUCAAGGGAGUGAAUGACUAUAAGGUGGUGGAGGAUUGGUUUUACGAUAUGGAGGACUACUUCCGAGCGUUGCGGUUACCGAGCUCGGAGAAGGUCCCAUGUGCAAAACCAUACUUGGCAGAUAAUGCCAAGUCUUGGUGGAGAACAACGGAGGCCAACGAAGGACCGGUGGUCACUUGGGACAUGAUGAAGGCGAGGAUCCGCGCAACAUAUGUUCCUCCGAAUGCCACUCUGCAUCUGAGGGAUGAACUGAGUAGGCUGAAGCAGACUGGAACCAUCCAGGAAUAUGUGAUCCAGUCCCUAACUCAAAGUUACUCAUUACACGAGCAACUUUGGUAGAGAGUCGUUCGCGACAUCUACUAGCCCUCCGAGGGAAGCUCGGAGGUAGCUUUGUUAAGAUCCUUAUUGACACGGGUGCUUCGGAUAAUUUUGUGGCUGCAGACAUAGUCCGGCAAGCCGGACUAACGGUGCAGCGGCUAGGCGAACCAAGGACUAUAGAGUUUGUUCAAGGUAGCCAAAGCACCGAUGAGGUACUUCGACAAGCGAAAGUCGAAGUAGGGACUUGGAAAGUAGACAUGGAUUUCACCGUGUUGGACAUGGCGGGAUUUGACGUGAUCUUCGGAAUGGAUUGGUUCAAUCGGUUCGUGGUAGCCCUACAUGGACAAGGUAGGAACCUUGUGGUACUGGCGAAUGCCCAAGGAAAAAGAUCUAGGGUGGAGGCCCAGGAUCUAAAGGUAGGGCAAAGCAAGGCCAAAGAAUCCUGCUUAAACCUGGUGUCCACGAGAGGACAACUCACUAAAGGAACUAAGGCAGCCUUUUUGUGCUUACUCUCGGUGAAGAGUGACAAAAAGACAAGAACGGAAGAAGUGCCUUUAGUGAUCCAGCGAGUGCUGGACCAAUUCCAGGAUACCAUGCCGGAGGAGCUACCGGCGGGGUUGCCCCCCGCACGACCGAUAGAGCAUAAGAUUGAGCUGGUCGAGGGCGCAGAGGCGGUGGUUCGUCCACCCUAUCGUUUGAACGAAAAAGAACUCAAGGAGCUCAAGUGCCAACUAGAGGAGUUGGUGGGCAAAGGGUAUGUUAGGUUGAGCAAGUCGCCGUAUGGGGCGCCGGUAUUAUUUGUGAAAAAGAAAGAUGGAUCUAUGCGCAUGUGCAUAGAUUACCGGUUGCUCAACAAAUAUACCAAGAAGAACAAGUACCCUUUGCCAAGGAUUGAGGACCUGUUCGAUAGGUUGGGAAAGGCAAAAUACUUCUCGAGGAUUGACCUAAGGUCAGGAUACUACCAGAUCAGGGUAGCUAAGGGAAGAUGGUAUGGACAGCGGAAUGCGAGGCGGCAUUCGUCCACCUCAAAGGGAAGUUGAGGAAGGCUCCGGUGUUGGCAUUACCAGACUUUGGUAAGGACUUUGAGGUAGACACCGAUGCUUCGGACUUUGCGUUGGGCGCAGUUUUGAAGCAAGACAACCAUCCAGUAGCGUUCUUCUCGAAGAAGCUGGACAAGGCUCAACAGAAGUGGCCUGCCCACGAGAAGGAAUUGUUUGCGGUGGUCAAGGCGCUCAAGGAGUGGCGACACUACCUUGGGAGACACUUCAAGGUUUACACGGACAAUGUGGCAACGAAACACUUCUUGUCACAACCCGACCUGAGAGGGAAACAAGGUCGGUGGGCCAAUGCCUUGGCCGAGUUUGAUUGCGAAAUUCUGUACAAGCCUGGGAAGAGCAACAUCGUAGCAGAUGCGCUAAGUCGAAAAGCGAGCUUGAGGUUGGCGAUCUCCAGCGCAACAGCAACCUUCUGGGACGAUGUGCGGACAGCAUAUGAGAAUGAUGGUCUAGCACAAGAAGUGUUGUUGAGGAAUCUGGAGGCGCGGGAAGCUCACCAGAGAGGUGAGCUGCCAACGGAAGAGAAAACGGGCUAUGCGGAACGCAACGGACUCAUUUAUUACAAGCAAACGAGGGUGUAUGUUCCAGAAGGGGGACUAAGGAAGGUAGCCUUAGAAGAGUGUCAUGACGGACCUCUUGCGGGACACGGCGGAGUGCCCAAGACGAUGGGCUUACUCAAGAGGAAGUACCAUUGGCCAGAUAUGGCUAAGGACGUCCAAGACUAUGUAAAGACAUGCCCAAUAUGUCAGCAAGUCAAAGCCGUGACGAAGGCUAGUGGGGGCUUGUUGCAAAGCAUCCCCAUUCCAGAUCGUCCGUGGAAAUGUCUCACGAUGGACUUCAUCACGGGACUACCCCCAAGCGAGGGGUUCGAUGCGAUAUUCGUGGUGGUGGACCGAUUUUCAAAGAUGGCACAUUUCAUACCCACCACAACGGACGUGGAUGCGGAAGGUGUGGCGAAGCUGUUCUUCGAACAAGUGGUUCGAGUGCGGGGAAGGCCGGAAGAGAUUAUCUCAGAUCGAGAUAAGAUCUUCACUAGUAGGUUCUGGAGGACACUCCUAGAACAGUAUCGCACCAAGUUGAAAUUCAGCACAGCCUAUCACCCACAGACAGGUAAUGGGUAUUAAGUCAAGAUUGAUGGCACUAACACUUCUUGACAGACGGACAAACGGAAAGGGUGAAUAGGCAGCUGGAGGAUUAUUUGUGAUGCUAUGUCUCGGGAGACCAGACCGACUGGGUAAGUCAUUUGGGACUUGCGGAAAUGUGUUAUAACAACUCACCACAUUCGAGCAUCGGGGUGAGUCCAUGGGAAGUCAUCAAUGGGCGAGCUAUUGAAGGUCCUGUGGAACUCGGCGUGGCCGAGUAUCAUGGAGAGUUACCCGCAGUGGAGGCAUUCACGGCGGAAAGACUCAACAUUUGGAAUCUAGUGAGGGAUUCCUUGGAACGGGCUCAACAAAGGCAAACUAAGUACGCAAACCAAAAGCGUCGGGAUGUGGAGUUCCAAGCUGGGGAGAAGGUGUGGCUGAACACCAAGAACCUCAAGCUGCCAAGUGGGAUCAGCCGGAAGUUGACCCAAAGGUAAAAAUGCAUGUAUUCCUGUAAAUGAAUUGAUCUUGAGUUCCUUGAGCAGGUUCGCGGGGCCUUACGAGAUUGAGGCUCGAAUCGGUAAAGUGGCUUACCGACUCCGACUUCCUCGAGAGAUGGGGAAGAUGCACCCAGUGUUCCACGUGAACUUACUCAAGCCGUACUUUGAGGAUCCGCUUCGCAAGGACCAAGUAAGACCUCUACCCGAGGUUAUCCAAGGGGAAGAGGAAUACGAAGUUGAGGCCAUCCUCAAUGCGCGCAAGAGCAAGCGACAAGGACACGAGGUGAGAGAGUUCCAUGUGAAGUGGAAAGGAUUUCCACACUGCGAAGCAACAUGGGAACCGGAGGAGAACCUAGCGAACGCGCGAGAUCUAGUGGAGGAAUUUCUGCAAGGCAGAACUCUAUGUACUUAUGCAAAGUUCAAUUAAAAAUAUCAAUUUGAGAAGUUGAGCAAAAGCAUAUGUUGGGACCCGAAGGCGCGCCGAAGGUAAGCUAAUUAGCAUGGGUUAGCUAGGUCGACCAGGCGUAGGGAGCUACGCCCGACUCCCUGCGGGGAUGUCGAAUCCGUAGACGUAUUCUACGGAGGUUGGGUUCAAGUCCCAACCCCCUAGUAAAGCAAGGCUGGGUUCAAGUCCCGACCCUAUACUAGGGCGUGGUGAGGUGAGGAGUAUAGGGACACCUAUAUUCCGUUGUCAUGGGCUCUUGGCCGGGGAGGCUAACUUAGGCACACCGCUAAGUGGGGGGAUGCCCCCGGAGACAUGGUCAACAAGUCGUAGGAUAAAAAAGAGACGUUCGAUGUGGGCAUCGAACUUCUUCUAUGGGUGGUGGAGUUGUAAGGAACCAACUCUGAACACUGAAUUCAACACUGAAAUGAACUUGAAACAUUAGAAUAAAUAGAAAAGAAUACUUUGGAGCUAUAAUGCAAACUUACCUCAUUAACUUCUGCUAUAAAAUAUACCUCAAUCAUACCAAAGACAUAUAGUAAUAAUUAUAUAAAACAUUUUAUUUACCUUUGUCUUAGUAAACCAUUUAUAUAGAUUGAUGAUCUGCUUUAGUAUGAUGUUUGUUAGAUAAAAUUAAAAACUUAAAUUUUAAAUACCUUUGCAAACCCAUAUUUUUCUUUUGUGUAGAAUUGUGGGAUGAAGAGCAAAAUAAGUCUCCAUAAUCGUCUCCUGUUUUUCUUCUUUCCCAACUUUAGUUGUCACUAGCUUAAAUAUCUCAUACAAAUCUUCUGCUUUAGGAUUUGUAGUUAGCUUGCUUUUGAGAAGACAUGAAUCCAAAAAGCUUAUGAGCCUUCCCUUGGUUUCAUCCACCAUUGCAUUCACUAUCUCUCCAGCACCAGCAAAAUGUCCUCCAACUUUGGCCCCAAUAAAUAAUAGGAUCAAUGUAUGUUUAAGUACUGGAGCAAAUUUCUUGAGCCAGUUUGGUGGGAUAUUCAAUUCAACACCUACAGAAUUCUUCACUUGAUGACCUUUAUCUCCCUGAGUAUAAGAUCCUUCAUGCCAUUCACACAAGUAGUGAAGUUUAACAGGUGUUCCCAGUAUUUUGCUAUAAUUUUUCCACCUAUUAUUCUCAUCGAGAAUAUAUGGAUAUUUUGGGCAAUCUGUUUCCAAUUUCAAUAAUACUUGCAAACACCUUGUAUGGAUUGCAUUCACUUUAUCCAUGAUAGACUUUAGUCCAUUUUUGAGCUCGUUAAAGCUUACUUCAAUGUUAUCAAGUUUUGUAUCCAACUUGUCAAAACAAUUCUCCAUUUUAUCAAGCCUUUUAUCAAAAUAUCUAAGGAUUGCAUCAAGUUUUGGGUCUUCAACAUUCGGAAACUCAACAACAUCUAAUGAUGCUUUGGGAAUUGUGACUUCUCCAACCUCCUCAUAGUCCUUCAAAAGUUCAUGAAGUUCAACAAACUUAUUUACCAUUUCAUGUUUUUGCUCAUUGGGCAUCAAUAGCUUGGCCAAAGCAUUCUCAUCUGAGACUUUCAAAUCAUUAUUCACAUCCCAGCUCUCUGCUUCAUGUGAAUAAUUCCAAGUGUGGGAGUAUUCUAGACCUCUUUCUUUUGCUUUACAUUUGACUUGCUUUAGUGGACAAAUAACUGAAGCCCAUAAUUCUAAUUUGCCCACCUUAUUUAGUAUCUUUCUCCAUACAUAACCACGUCUCAUCACAUUUUCUUCAAUUUCCAAAGAUGGGCAAUCCUCCAUACAUACCCCAAUAAUGCAAUUUCUAAUUUUUUCCAUCCAUCCUUCAGCUUCCUUUUCUAAAUCCGGCCUUGGUGUAUUCUCUACCUCUUUUGGGUAGUAAAUGAUGAUAUCAAUCCAUUGCCUAUCUUUCCAAUUGUCUGUGUCUCCCCCAACUCUCACAAUUAUCUCGAUAAGGUUUUUUUUCAAAGCCACCCAUCCAUUCCCAAGCCUGAAACCUUUCUUGCUUAAUCUGUGAAGUUUAACUUGGAUCUUUGUGAAAAUACUUGCAGGAAACAAUUUCAAGUCCUUGUCUUUGCAUUCAAACCUCCUGCCCCAGUAGUUGUGGUUUUUUUGAGUGUUAAUUGACAAUAAAUAUCCUGGAGGUGAAUAGUCUUCUUGCAAUAGUGUUGGCAUUAUCAACUCUUUGGGUAAGUUAUGCCAAUUCCCAUCCCAUGUAUCAUCCCAAGGCAAUAUCACUCCCAUCUCAUGGAGCACUCCAAGAAUGUACUCCACUAUUUUGUCUUGGUUCCCACAUUGUUGUUUCAACUGAUGUUUAACUUGGUGUGUAUCCAUUCGACUUUUGAGUUUGCUGGUCUUCUCUGUAGGUAUGAAGAGCUGCACCACAUCCUUGAUAAACCAUUGGACAUCUAAGAUGACAAAUUGAGACACAAUGUCGUCCUCUUCAUGUCCCAAGCCAAAGUAAAUUGCAUCACCAGAAUCAUGUAGAAAUUGCAAGACGAAUUUGAGAACAUUCUCGGAACUCCUGUGAGGCAAGAGGAUUUUGCCAACUUUAUCUAGGGGUAUGACCUUCUUGUGACUUGGAUCUUGUACCAAUUUCCUCUUUGCUUUGAGACAUUCCUGUGGUAUUUGUUGCUGGGCUGACAGCAGUUCUUCCAAGCAACUCCCCAACAUGGUUUUUAUCCCCCUUAAAUCUUUCACUUGAGUGGCCACCACCUUAAAACAAAAGUCAUUCCCAAACUCAAGUACUUGCCCAUAGCCUUUGUCGGAGAUAAUUGCAGAAACCACCUCCUUUGGGUCAAAGUCGGGUUCUGGAGUGAAAAAGUUCAAGGCAAUCAAGACCCUGGGCUUCCUUUUGGGUGAGGCUGAUUGAUGUGAAGCGAUGAACCUCAGCCAGUAAACCAAAUUCUGCUUGAAAACCUCACAAUUGCCAUCCUCCACCUUGCAUACGAUCAAGAAGAGAUCCUUCUCACUUCCUCUGAGAAA
Molecule: long non-coding RNA, 23595 nt
Filed under: Selaginella moellendorffii
Lineage: Eukaryota; Viridiplantae; Streptophyta; Lycopodiopsida; Selaginellales; Selaginellaceae
Source: RNAcentral